RNAcentral lists this ribosomal RNA (394 nucleotides) under uncultured bacterium. RNAcentral describes it as "bacterial SSU rRNA". It matches the Rfam family "Bacterial small subunit ribosomal RNA", at positions 335 to 713 of the family's 1533-position model. The record is from RNAcentral.
ACUCCUACGGGAGGCAGCAGUGGGGAAUAUUGCACAAUAGGGGGAAACCCUGAUGCAGCCAUGCCGCGUGUGUGAAGAAGGCCUUCGGGUUGUAAAGCACUUUCAGUAGGGAGGAAGGUAGUGUAGUUAACACCUGCAUUAUUUGACGUUACUACAGAAGAAGCACCGGCUAACUCCGUGCCAGCAGCCGACGGUAAUACGGAGGGUGCGAGCGUUAAUCGGAAUUACUGGGCGUAAAAGCGCAUGCAGGCGGCCUGUUAAGUCAGAUGUGAAAGCCCGGGGCUUAAACCUCGGAAAUUGCAUUUGAAAACUAGGCAAGGCUAGAGUCUUGUAGAGGGGGGUAGAAUUUCAGGUGUAGCGGUGAAAAUGCGUAGAGAUCUGAAGGAAUACCAGU